GUCUAGUAUAGCAUUAUACCGCGAAACUGCGAAUGGCUCAUUAUAUAAGUUAUCGUUUAUUUGAUAGUACCUUACUACUUGGAUAACCGUGGUAAUUCUAGAGCUAAUACAUGCUAAAAAUCCCGACUUCGGAAGGGAUGUAUUUAUUAGAUUAAAAACCAAUGCCCUUCGGGGCUCCUUGGUGAUUCAUGAUAACUUCUCGAAUCGCAUGGCCUUGUGCCGGCGAUGGUUCAUUCAAAUUUCUUCCCUAUCAACUUUCGAUGUUUGGGUCUUGGCCAAACAUGGUUGCAACGGGUAACGGAGGGUUAGGGCUCGACCCCGGAGAAGGAGCCUGAGAAACGGCUACUACAUCCAAGGAAGGCAGCAGGCGCGCAAAUUACCCAAUCCCGACUCGGGGAGGUAGUGACAAUAAAUACUGAUACAGGGCUCUUUUGGGUCUUGUAAUUGGAAUGAGUACAAUUUAAAUCCCUUAACGAGGAACAAUUGGAGGGCAAGUCUGGUGCCAGCAGCCGCGGUAAUUCCAGCUCCAAUAGCGUAUAUUAAAGUUGUUGUGGUUAAAAAGCUCGUAGUUGAACCUUGGGCCUGGCUGGCCGGUCCGCCUCACCGCGUGUACUGGUCCGGCCGGGCCUUUCCCUCUGUGGAACCCCAUGCCCUUCACUGGGUGUGGCGGGGAAACAGGACUUUUACUUUGAAAAAAUUAGAGUGCUCCAGGCAGGCCUAUGCUCGAAUACAUUAGCAUGGAAUAAUAGAAUAGGACGUGUGGUUCUAUUUUGUUGGUUUCUAGGACCGCCGUAAUGAUUAAUAGGGACAGUCGGGGGCAUCAGUAUUCAAUUGUCAGAGGUGAAAUUCUUGGAUUUAUUGAAGACUAACUACUGCGAAAGCAUUUGCCAAGGAUGUUUUCAUUAAUCAGGAACGAAAGUUAGGGGAUCGAAGACGAUCAGAUACCGUCGUAGUCUUAACCAUAAACUAUGCCGACUAGGGAUCGGACGAUGUUAUUUUUUGACUCGUUCGGCACCUUACGAGAAAUCAAAGUGCUGGC
Molecule: ribosomal RNA, 1039 nt
Filed under: Cosmospora aff. viliuscula PC-2011
Lineage: Eukaryota; Fungi; Ascomycota; Sordariomycetes; Hypocreales; Nectriaceae
Description: SSU rRNA
Rfam family: Eukaryotic small subunit ribosomal RNA
Source: RNAcentral